This 539-nucleotide ribosomal RNA is filed under the name uncultured Caryophanales bacterium. RNAcentral's name for it is "bacterial SSU rRNA". It matches the Rfam family "Bacterial small subunit ribosomal RNA", at positions 524 to 1074 of the family's 1533-position model. The record is from RNAcentral. Lineage: Bacteria; Bacillati; Bacillota; Bacilli; Caryophanales.
UACAUAGGGGGCAAGCGUUAUCCGGAAUUAUUGGGCGUAAAGGGUGCGUAGGUGGCCAUUUAAGUCUUUGGUGUAAGUGCAGUGCUCAACGCUGUGAUGCUAAAGAGACUGGGUGGCUUGAGUGUGGUAGAGGCAAGUGGAAUUCCAUGUGUAGCGGUAAAAUGCGUAAAUAUAUGGAGGAACACCAGUGGCGAAGGCGGCUUGCUGGGCCAUAACUGACACUGAGGCACGAAAGCGUGGGGAGCAAACAGGAUUAGAUACCCUGGUAGUCCACGCCGUAAACGAUGAGUACUAAGUGUUGGAGAAAUUCAGUGCUGUAGUUAACGCAAUAAGUACUCCGCCUGAGUAGUACGUACGCAAGUAUGAAACUCAAAGGAAUUGACGGGACCCCGCACAAGCGGUGGAUCAUGUUGUUUAAUUCGAUGAUACGCGAAGAACCUUACCAGGUCUUGACAUCCCUUGCAAAGCUCUAGAGAUAGAGUGGAGGUUAUCAAGGAGACAGGUGGUGCAUGGUUGUCGUCAGCUCGUGUCGUGAGAUG